This 843-nucleotide long non-coding RNA is filed under the name Nicotiana benthamiana. Its description in RNAcentral is "long non-coding RNA (NBEN_LNC035832)". Lineage: Eukaryota; Viridiplantae; Streptophyta; Magnoliopsida; Solanales; Solanaceae. The record is from RNAcentral.
UGAGGACUAGUUUAUUAGUUAAAUAUGCAAACUCUGCAACAACAAUAAAAGAUCUUUUUUCAUUUAAUAACUCCAGCUAACUGAACAUCUAAAAUCUAGAAAGAGUGUCACUGGGAAGACAAUGGGGGUAGCAGAUGUUGUACCUGAUACAUCCAUGCCAUGUUUUCCCAAUAUUUUUUCUACACUAUUUGCUGAUAUGCGUAAACUCCAUUAUGCCCAUCUCCUCUAUUAUCUAUCAUUUUGCACAAUAUCUGUGAGCCUGUCUCUAUUAAUAAAGGGUGCAAGUUUAAGACUUUUUCUAAGAGAGCUAGUAAUUCAGUGGUAUACUAUCAUCGUUUUUUUAUGUUAAAUUCCUUUGUGUAAGAUUCUGCGAGAAUGCGAGUCGCUUCGUACACUAGUUACCCAAUUUCGGUGAAAUUCUCCCAUUGUGUGUGGAUUAUAAAUUAAUGGGGCAUCUGCAUUAUUGUUUGUUCUUUGUAAAAACUUCAUACACUGUUAGACGCUAUCUCAAGAAAAGUAUGUCCAUUUAUUUCUUCCAUUAGUAGUACAAAAACUUCAUACACUGUUAGAUGCUAUCUCAACGCUACCAAUUUUGUAUCUAUCUUAAAAUGUUGUACAAAUAUAUUUUCAUCAAGAUAGAGUUGAGAGAGAAACAUAGUGUUGUUAUUAUACACUUCAAUUAAAAUUAAGUAUAGAUUAAUAAAAAGGAGGUGAUAGAAUUAUGUACUAGAAUAAAAGAUGCAUUAAUGUAAAUUUGGAAUACGAAAUUAUAGAUUCCAAAACCGAAAGACACUUGAAAAUACAAGCGCUCUUUUUUACUCUAACAUGAAAAGAAGAUUCCGC